GAUGAACGCUGGCGGCGUGCCUAAUACAUGCAAGUCGAGCGAACAGACGAGGAGCUUGCUCCUCUGACGUUAGCGGCGGACGGGUGAGUAACACGUGGAUAACCUACCUAUAAGACUGGGAUAACUUCGGGAAACCGGAGCUAAUACCGGAUAAUAUAUUGAACCGCAUGGUUCAAUAGUGAAAGACGGUUUUGCUGUCACUUAUAGAUGGAUCCGCGCCGCAUUAGCUAGUUGGUAAGGUAACUGCUUACCAAGGCAACGAUGCGUAGCCGACCUGAGAGGGGGAUCGGCCACACUGGAACUGAGACACGGUCCAGACUCCUACGGGAGGCAGCAGUAGGGAAUCUUCCGCAAUGGGCGAAAGCCUGACGGAGCAACGCCGCGUGAGUGAUGAAGGUCUUCGGAUCGUAAAACUCUGUUAUUAGGGAAGAACAAAUGUGUAAGUAACUAUGCACGUCUUGACGGUACCUAAUCAGAAAGCCACGGCUAACUACGU
RNAcentral lists this ribosomal RNA (496 nucleotides) under uncultured bacterium. RNAcentral's name for it is "partial 16S ribosomal RNA". It matches the Rfam family "Bacterial small subunit ribosomal RNA", at positions 28 to 506 of the family's 1533-position model. The record is from RNAcentral.